CUCCUCCUACUCCCCCUCCGCCGCGCCACCUUCUGCGUGCCGCGUGGAAGCGGCGGCGGUGGAGGAGGACUCCAUGGCGCGGGGGAGGAGGCGACAGGUGCGGGAGGAGGCGAGCGGCGAGAGGAGGAGGAGGAGGCGGCGGAGGGCUGCGAGAGGGGGGUGAAGCAUGGGCGGCGCACGGUGCCUGAGAGGAGAGAGCGUGG
This 203-nucleotide long non-coding RNA is filed under the name Hordeum vulgare. RNAcentral's name for it is "long non-coding RNA (HVUL_LNC010232)". The record is from RNAcentral. Lineage: Eukaryota; Viridiplantae; Streptophyta; Magnoliopsida; Poales; Poaceae.